UUUAUUGGAUUGAAAUGAGAUCAACUACCUUUUACUUUGCUCCCAGUCGUUGGUGCGGGAACCUAAUCCAAGAAAUUCUUCAAUUCUUUUCCUUUAUAUGGCUGAAGGAAUAUAUGAGAUAAUCUCCAUCCAUCUAUUGAGAUUUUAUUAUUAUAGGAAGUGUGGAGAGUUCGUUGUACAUGUCGGUUGUUCUAUAAACACAGAAACAUGUAUAACCUGGAUAGAAAAUACAGCUUUUACGGAAUAAACAAGGCUGCUAUGUUAGCUGGAUACAAACAAGCACUUGGUUUUACAAACACAAAUAGUAGUAUGGGCAGAGUUUGAAAACAAGGCUCCCGUUAUAGCUGAACCGAUUGAAGAUCAAAUUAAGCACACUAAUGAUGUGCACCAGCACCCUCUAAGAAUACGGCUUGACAUGUGAUGUAUUAAUUUACGACUUCACGAUGUUUGUUUUAAUUUCCUGACAGAAGGGCGUGUGUGGCAUUUCAACUCAGUAUUUGUAAUUGCUAUAUCAAUGAGCAGAUACCUGAUAUAAAUCCUUUUUUAGGAAAUUAUAUCUUCAAAAGUAAAAAAUUGCACCAAAAGUUCUUUUGUUCUUAGCUUGAUUCGUCCUAUAUUUCUUUCGCAUCCUUUUACUUUGAAAAUAAGUUUAGCAGUUCGUUCAUGCCACUUAUAUAUCUAACAGCUAUAUUCUACUCUAACGUUUCAGAGGUAACUCAUAUAGUCAUAUAAAUAGUGUCCCUAACAGUAAACUGGAUUAUUGCAAAAGGUUCAGGCGUUCGGCUAUUCAAACUUUCUCAAUCUUGAACAACGUUCCGCUUUCAACUUCAGGUAAUGAGUAAGGAAUUGCAGUUCUUUGCAUUUUUUUCAAUUCAGCCCGUUUGUGCGAGUGGUGCAACUUGGACUCUAUCUUUCAAGGUUUUUGAGUCUCCAAGUCAAAACGAGUCGACGACCCUGUGGCUUGGCGAUUAGUCAAAGAAAGUUGUUGUACAGCUCCGCUCUCUCGCUUGCUUUUCCUCCUUUCAAGUGGUCUCGAAGCACACCUUGGCGGAUCUAUUCCAUCCUGAUUAGGCAUGGCAUUUUUCCAAAUGGGGAAAGUGGUGGAUGUGGAACUGUGGUGUCCAUCAUGUCGGCUUAUGAAGGCUUCCCCUUGAACCGGUGGCCCAUGAAGAAGACGUAGCCGUGAUGCCAAAGGAGCUAUAGGUCAAGCCUCUCUGCUAUUAUCCCUUGGCUGCAGUCUGGUAUUGGCAUUUCAUCACUCUCUCAUGCCAACCAUUGAAAACUCACGCAUGGACAAUGAUGAAACUAUGUGCAACUGUGUAGUAAGUUAUGUACUAGGUGUUUUCUCAUUACCAAAUUACAUUGAAUCUACCAGUAAUCAUUGUUAAUAAUAGUAAAUUGGUAUGGUGUUAAAAAAAUCAGCUUCACCGGUAAAAGUGAACAUGUA
Non-coding RNA from Lolium perenne, 1447 nucleotides. The record is from RefSeq and is a predicted model, not a curated record. Lineage: Eukaryota; Viridiplantae; Streptophyta; Magnoliopsida; Poales; Poaceae.